Gallus gallus (chicken) is the source of this 4552-nucleotide long non-coding RNA. RefSeq lists it as uncharacterized. Lineage: Eukaryota; Metazoa; Chordata; Aves; Galliformes; Phasianidae. The record is from RefSeq and is a predicted model, not a curated record. The transcript is spliced from 5 exons.
GGCGCCGAGCUGGGAGCGCAGCGGACUCCCGGAAAGCAGCGGCAGCGGCGGGAAGGGGCUCCAAGGAGCAAAGAAUGGCGGCGAGGCGCUGCCGGGAGCAGCAGAAGGCAGCGAGGAGAAGCCGUGAAGCUGCAGAGCGGCGGAGUUGUCUUUUCUCCUUGCCAGGCUUGAAUCUUCCUUCCGCCUUGCUGUGCUGUGGGGAGCAGCUGGAGGCGAUUCUCUUGCAUGAGCGAGGGGUGCAGCCUGGUUCCACCCGGCCCUGAGCUCACGGAAGGGCUGGCUGCCCGCAGGGAAGGAGCUCUGCUUGAGCUCUGCUCCUGGGUGGGCUUUUGUGUGCCCUGUUCCUCAGGAAGGGGUAAGCAGUGCUGGGGUUAUUUGCUAGAUGGAGUGCGUUUGUGUUUCUUGGCUUCCUGAAAGCUGUGUCUGUCUUUUUCACUGCCGGCUGGAGAGACUCGGGGGAGAAAGCGUUGUGCUUGAUGGCACGGUUUCCUUGGGCAAAGGAUGCUUUGGCAGCAGAGGUUUGCUGUCAGGAGGCAUGAAAGCACUGAAGCCAAUGCUGCCGUGCCCUGGGCCCAGAGACAUCAUCUCCCAGCACGUCCCUGGCGGUGGAUGUGUGCAAGCUCUGUGUCUGCCAGUGGUUGCUCCAAAGGCUUUGUGGUCAGCUGUGCGUGGCUGUUUUGCUCUUGAGGGCGUGGGAACAGAGGGCAACACGCUGAUGGGAGUGAUGGUGUCCUGCUCAGCAAUGGAUGUGCUGGGUGGCAGAAGAGGAUUCUUGGCCGAGCGUGGAAAAUCUCUCUGCUCCUUCCUGAAGGUGAGUUUUUCCUGGAUUGCAGGGUGCCCUGGAGGAGGUGACCCCCACUUGACAUCGGUUGGGUAUUUUAAAGCAGCUGAGAUUAAGGAGACAUGACAAAGUUGUGCAAAUGUUCCUGGACGUUCCUAGUUCUUGAAUUGCCUAAAGGAACACAAGCAAUGCAGAGAAAGAAAGAAAGAACGAAAGAAAAAGAACAACAACACCUGACGCAAUCUUCCACUUGGAAAGGGCCUCCCAAGGAUCCCUGGUAUCCUGUGAGAGCUCUGAGCUGCCGCACCAAUUUGAAGCUGACUUCAUUUUUGGUCUUCCCCUUCAGCAGAAAAGCUCAGACAGCUGAGCCAAGCGAGACGCUGGAUUUCCUUUGGCAUCAAGGAAAGCAUCGUGAGAUGUUCUGAUGCCCUCUCACAAUUCUUUCUCCCUCCGCCAGCACCAGAGCUGGCGUCCAAAGACGCAAUGACACUGCCACAGGCAUUGUGGAGAUUUCUAUGGGAUAGGGCCAUGGUAAGGCUUUAUUGACAGAGGGAGGGACAAUGAAGAUUGGAUGUCAGGGAGAAGGUCUUUCCAGAGACGGUGGUGAGAUGCUGGAAGCGGAUGCCCAGAGAGCUUGUGGACGCCGCGUCCGUGGCAGUGUUGAAGGCCAGGUUGGAUUGGGCACUCGGCAGCCUAGUCUAGGAUUAGAUAUGAUGCAGAUGGGAUUCAAGCAUCUGUUUUGCAGCCAGCUCGAGUGGAGCUCUUGGAGCUCAUGGGCGCCCCAUGCCCGCAUCAGCGUGGGUAGUGUGUGCCCUUCCUGCGCGGUGGGGCUUUGGUGUUUGGAGGCUGAUGCUGAGGAGACUGUGUUUCUUCGUUUAUCGGUGGCAGAAAUCCAGCUCUGUCAGCAGAGGACUCCUGCGGCUGGCUGGCCUCAGCCUGAGAUGUUGAUGCUUCCAUCUCCUCAGGUUCUUUCUGCCUGCUCUUCUUAGCCCUGCGCCUGAGAAGUCUGACUGAGUCGCAUGCCAGAAGUGGAAGCCGGGAUGGAGUGCCUUGCGAUGCCUGCGACGGGCUGGACUGAGCCCUUGAGGAAGGUCUGGAAUCGUUGCUGAAAGAUUCGUUGGCUUUGGGCAACUUCAGCACCGCAGCCACACGAUGGGCUUUUUCCGCUUCCCGUUCUUCCUCACGGAAGCUCACGUGUUUGGUUCCCGGGGCUCGGCCCAGGUCUUCUUGGCUGUCUGUUUCUGCCUGGCCCUGCAGCUGGCAGGUCAGCGGCUGCUUUUGGUCUUCAGGCACUCCAGGGAUGGCUGGCAGCAGACUGAAAGGACAGAGCAGGAGGGGUCCGCCUGAGUGGGUGAUGGCUUUGGGGCCGCAUCCUGCAAGCCGGAGCCAGGACCCUUGGCUGCAACGCAGCCUUCCCCACAGACAGCUCACCGGCUGCCUUGUGGCUCUCCCCCGUGGGAUCCAGAGAGGGGCCAGCCCUGUGAGCUGGGGGGCUCUGGCGUCCCCAUCCCAGCACUAUUGGGCAGCCAGAAACAGGGACCCUUUGGGGCUAGGGAAUGGGCUCUCGUUGGCUCAGUCAAUCACCCCCAUGCACAUGCCAAGCCAGAGCCUCCAGCCUCACCUGGACGUAGAGCUCUCCUUGCGCAGUAAGCUCCUUAUCCUUCGGAGUUUUCCUCCAUCUAGACUGUCCGAGCUCAAGCGUUUGAUGUAGGUUGGCUUGCCAGCAAAUCUCACUGGGAUUGGGAAGGCAGAGGAGACUCACCGUCAACCCUUUGGCUCACUCACCAGGGGCGCUCAGGCCUGUUCCCAGAACAUGCGAGAGGGCCGCUCUGCUCCCCCCACUGCUGACAUCUGUGCCGCCCGCGGACCCUCCCUGAAACCAUCUCUGGCCCCACUUCUCCUCUCUGCCAUCUUGGGACUCUCUUUUGGGAGUGCAUUAGUGACGGUGGCUUUGGGAAAGCGGAGCUGGGUGGUGACGAUGAGCUGACAGGGUGACUUUUGGGGACCAUAUCCUUUUGUUGGGGGAGGGCGGGGCCUAAGGUGCCGAGGUGCUCCUGCCAUAGCCAGGGAUGGGGGCACGUCACAGCCAGCGCCUUGGUUUUGGAGAGGCCAACAAUUCCUCGUGGGAAGAGGCCGUGCUGAGCUGGCGUGAAGCUUUGACGGAUGCCUCCUGAGGACCUGCGGGAUAUCCCAGGUGGUGGUUUGGGUACAAACUCCAUUUGAAACCUGUACGCGAGGAGACGACAGUGAGCGGUGGGACGCAGCGCUCCACCAAUCCUUGUUGCUCUCUCUGAUUGCCUGCUGACAGGCCCAUUUUCAUGCUGCAUGAUGGCCACUGCUUUCUAAAGGCUUCAGCAGGGCCAGGCUGAGAGCAACCUGAUGUGGCGGUAGGUGUCCCUGUUCCCUGCAGGGGAGUGGGACUAGGUGCCCUUUCCGGGUUCCUUCCAGCUCAAAUGAUGCGAUGAUUCUAUGCCAUAUCCUCGUGGGCAGGGCAGGGACACCCAUGGUCACCAGGAACAAAUGCUACGGCAUGAGAGCUGAGCAGCUGCAGCAAGCAGCAGCUACAGCCCCCAACAUACUCACUUGGGAAAGACGACGAGGCAGCCAGAGAGUGCCAGGGAGGCCACCGGUGCCGCUCGGGACACCACCAUGUCCAGCAGCCAGGGGGCCUGCAGGGGAGGAACAGGGAGGAUGUGGGACGUCCUUGUGACGGCUGAGGCACUGGGCGCACAAGGAGCCCAAGGCAGGGAGGGCUGACGGCACCGCAGCACUUGCACGGCGCGAGCAGCUGGCCAGGUGCUGGUGGUAGAAAGCUACAGCUCACCUUGAGAAGAGCUUUCCUGAACUUCUCUUUCCCUGACAGCUUCUCAAGGAAGUCAUAAUAGAAUUUCAUGUGGAAGGUCAGUCCAUCGAUGUGGAGCACUCCAAUGUCCUUGAAGACAACGGCAACGUUCUCCCCAUUCUUCAGGCAGCCAGAGAGCAGGGACACGGUGCUUUGGAUGCAAGCCUGCGCUGUCUGCCAGGUCACAGAGGCAGCUGCGGCCACCUCGCUGCUCUUGAGCGGCUCCAGCUUCCUAUGGGCUGAAAAAUGGGAGGGACGGAGUUGAUGAUACGGUUGGUUUUCCGCAGUGCUUCCCUGGAACUGCUUCUUGUGGCCAUCAGCCAGAACGGCCCCAUGUUUGGCUGGGCUCCUCCGAGGGGGAGGUUUGCUUUGGAGAAUGGAGGCGGUGGCCCUGUUGGCCCUGUGCGUGAAGCCAGCAAAGCUUUAAUCCUCCCUCCUACCUGGCAGGGACUCCCUGCGGGGCUUGAGGUGGUGCACGGCUAUGAGGUUUCCAGACAAGUGAAAGACGGGCCAACGCAGAGUCACGGUCCCGUCCUCAGUCCUGAUGUCUCUGGAGAUGGUGUCAAAGGAUCCGAAGCACAGCAGUCAGGGCAGAAGCAGCCUGAUGGGAUCCAGAGGCUUCCCGCGAGCGGGAUCAGCCCUGAGACAGGACAGCGCCCAGCACAAGUGAUCCUGCGGGAUUUGCAGGAAGCCCAUGGCAUGCCCAGUAGAGACACGUGGGGAGGUGCUCUUGUACGUAGGCGGCCACCGCAUCCCAGACGGCAACUCGCUCUGGAGGGCAAAGGAAAAGCGGGUCACACUCUGCACCUGCCGCUUCCCGGCAGCCCUCCCGCUGCCAGGCGGGAGUGAGGUGGCAGAUGGAAAGUGUCGUCUGCGUGCCAGGAUUGGCUGCAGCAGCGCUCCUGUGGUGGCUGUGGAGCCAUGUACCU